This 419-nucleotide ribosomal RNA is filed under the name bacterium. RNAcentral describes it as "partial 16S ribosomal RNA". It matches the Rfam family "Bacterial small subunit ribosomal RNA", at positions 355 to 776 of the family's 1533-position model. The record is from RNAcentral.
UGGGGGAUAUUGCACAAUGUGCGAAAGCCUGAUGCAGCGACGCCGCGUGGGGGAUGAAGGCUUUCGGGUUGUAAACCUCUUUCGCUAUCGAACAAGGCCCGCUUAGGGUGGGUUGAGGGUAGGUGGAGAAGAAGCGCCGGCUAACUACGUGCCAGCAGCCGCGGUAAUACGUAGGGCGCGAGCGUUGUCCGGAAUUAUUGGGCGUAAGGGCUUGUAGGCGGCUUGUUGCGCCUGCUGUGAAAACGCGGGGCUUAACUUCGCGCGUGCAGUGGGUACGGGCAGGCUUGAGUGUGGUAGGGGUGACUGGAAUUCCAGGUGUAGCGGUGGAAUGCGCAGAUAUCUGGAGGAACACCGAUGGCGAAGGCAGGUCACUGGGCCAUUACUGACGCUGAGGAGCGAAAGCAUGGGUAGCGAACAGG